Non-coding RNA from Pseudonaja textilis, 414 nucleotides. Lineage: Eukaryota; Metazoa; Chordata; Lepidosauria; Squamata; Elapidae. The record is from RefSeq and is a predicted model, not a curated record.
UAUUUUCUUUAUUCUGCUGAAACAGCGAAACCUGGUGAUGUCCUUCAGUGGUGUUAGAGGGCAACCAAUGGUUUCUUCUGCUGAAUUGAUCAUUCUCUGUAGUGCCUUCCUAUCUGCAGCUGUUAAACCAGCGUACCUUACUGUUAUAGAGUAUGUGAGGAUACUUUUUAUCGUGGACCAAUAGAAAAAAAUCAUUAGCUGUUGUUCCAUCUGGUUUUUCCACAGUACUAAAAGAAAAUGAAGUCUCUGUUGGGCCUUUCUAACCCUCAGGGACAUGUUGUAUUUCCGGGACACAAAAACCCAAGAAUAAUGGAGCACCAAAAGCCAUACGAUGCAAAUUAUUGGUCUCUAUGAGGAAGCUAAUUAAGUGUUUUCAUGUUCGUCCCCAAACAUGGGCUAAGACAUAGGAACCUG